Molecule: long non-coding RNA, 1760 nt
Organism: Numida meleagris (helmeted guineafowl)
Lineage: Eukaryota; Metazoa; Chordata; Aves; Galliformes; Numididae
Source: Ensembl
GUGUGUCCCCAUUCUGUCACGUGUGACCUCGUGUCACGUGUCCCCACGUCACAUGUGUCCGUGUUGCACGUCGCUGUCACACGUCACGUCUUCAUGUCACGUGUGUCCCCAUGUCAUGUCAUUGUGUCACGUGUGUCCUUGUGUCACGUGUCCCCAUGUCACGUGUGUCCGUGUUGCACGUCGCUGUCACGUGUCAUGCCUUCAUGUCACGUGUGUCCUCAUGUCACGUCAUUGUGUCACGUGUGUUCUCGUGUCACGUGUCCCCAUGUCGUGUCACUGCAUCACGUGUGUCCCCUUUACAUGUCACUAUCACGUGUCAUAUCUCUGUGUCACGUGUGUCCCCAUGUCGUGUCAUUCUGUCACAUAGGUCGUUGUGCUACGUGUGUCCCCAUUGUGUGUCAUUGUCACGUGUCAUGUCAUGUCACACAUGUCCCCAUGUCAGGUGUGUCCAUGUUGCACGUCGCUGUCACGUGUCACGCCUUCAUGUCACGUGUGUCCUCGUGUCAUAUCGCUGUGUCACUUGUGUGUCCUUGUGUCACACGUCCCCAUGUCAUGUCAUUGUGUCGCGUGUGUCCUUGUGUCACGUGUCCCCAUGUCACGUGCGUCUGUGUUGCACGUCGCUGUCACGUGUCAUGCCUUCAUGUCACGUGUGUCCCCAUGUCAUGUCGCUGUGUCACUUGUGUGUCCUCGUGUCACACGUUGUCAUGUCAUUGCGUCACGUGUCCCCGUGUCAUGUCGUUGUCACACGCGUCCCCAUCUCAUGUCUCUGUGUCACGCGUGUCCCCUUUCCAUGUCACUCUCACAUGUCACGUGCUCAUGUCACGUGUGUCCCCAUCUCGUGUCGUUCUGCCACUUGUGUUCCCGUUGUGUGUCAUGUGUCACGUCCUCGUGUCACAUGUGUCCCCAUGUUAUGUUAUUGUCACGUGUGUCCCCAUGUCACAUGCGUCCCCAUUCUGUCACGUGUGACCUUGUGUCACGUGUCCCCACAUCACGUCCCCGUGUCACGUGUGCCCGUGUUGCACGUCGCUGUCACGUGUCACGUGUUCAUGUCACAUGUGUCCCCAUGUCAUGUCGCUGUGUCACUUGUGUGUCCUCGUGUCACACGUCCCCAUGUCAUGUCAUGUGAUUGUGUCACAUGUCCCCAUGUCACGUGUGCCCCCUUUACAUGCCACUGUCCCAUGUCUCGUUCUCAUGUCACGUGUGUUCCUGUGUCACAUGUGUCCUCACUGUGUGUCACUGUUAUGCGUCACAUCAUCACGUGUCAUGCGUGUCCGCUUCUCACACGUGUCGCGUUGUCACAUCAUUGUGUCACAUGUGUCCCCAUGUCAUGUGAUUGUGUUGCGGGUGUCCUCAUGUCACGUGUUCCCGUGUCACGUCUCUGCGUCACGCGUGUCCCGUUUCCAUGUCACUCUCACGUGUCACAUGCUCAUGUCACGUGUGUCCCCAUCCCAUGUUGUUCUGACACGCGUGUCCCUGUGUCAUGUUUUUGUGUCACGCGUGUCCCCAUGUCUCGUGUGUCCCCGUGUCAUGUUAUUGCCACACGUGUCCCAAUCUCACACCGUUGUGUCACAUGUGUCCUUGUGUCACGUGUGUCCACGUCAUGUCUUCGUGUCACGUGUGUCCCUAUCUUGUGUCGUUGUGUCACAUGUGUCCCCGUGUCACGUGUCCCCAUGUCGCGUCUCCAUCUCACGUCAUUGCGUCACGUGUGUUCUUGUCACGUGUGCCCUUGUGUCAUGUCAUUGCAUCACGUGCGUCCCCGU